RNAcentral lists this ribosomal RNA (490 nucleotides) under uncultured bacterium. RNAcentral describes it as "partial 16S ribosomal RNA". It matches the Rfam family "Bacterial small subunit ribosomal RNA", at positions 30 to 507 of the family's 1533-position model. The record is from RNAcentral.
AUUGAACGCUGGCGGCAGGCCUAACACAUGCAAGUCGAACGGUAACAGGGAUCAGCUUGCUGAUUCGCUGACGAGUGGCGGACGGGUGAGUAAUGUCUGGGAAACUGCCUGAUGGAGGGGGAUAACUACUGGAAACGGUAGCUAAUACCGCAUAACGUCGCAAGACCAAAGAGGGGGACCUUCGGGCCUCUUGCCAUCGGAUGUGCCCAGAUGGGAUUAGCUAGUAGGUGGGGUAACGGCUCACCUAGGCGACGAUCCCUAGCUGGUCUGAGAGGAUGACCAGCCACACUGGAACUGAGACACGGUCCAGACUCCUACGGGAGGCAGCAGUGGGGAAUAUUGCACAAUGGGCGCAAGCCUGAUGCAGCCAUGCCGCGUGUAUGAAGAAGGCCUUCGGGUUGUAAAGUACUUUCAGCGGGGAGGAAGGGAGUAAAGUUAAUACCUUUGCUCAUUGACGUUACCCGCAGAAGAAGCGCCGGCUAACUCCGUG